UUUCCAAAGUGCGAAAAUGGUGAGAGACCAUGAGCCUAAGGGUUCCCGGUGGAGGGAGACUGACUGGAAGCUGCAGUUUGAAAAGCCCCGAAACGUUGGAAGGGGCCCCGAAAUUUGUAUCAUGCCCGCAAAAUCUGGUCCGGCCUUCCCCGGAAUUCAAAGAGCACGUACAAAUUUCAGAAAGUUUUUUGACCCCUCCCCGAACAAAGCGAUCACGAACUAUAAGUAG
This 229-nucleotide long non-coding RNA is filed under the name Volvox carteri. RNAcentral describes it as "long non-coding RNA (VCAR_LNC000755)". The record is from RNAcentral. Lineage: Eukaryota; Viridiplantae; Chlorophyta; Chlorophyceae; Chlamydomonadales; Volvocaceae.